This 148-nucleotide signal recognition particle RNA is filed under the name Homo sapiens (human). RNAcentral's name for it is "Metazoan signal recognition particle RNA". It matches the Rfam family "Metazoan signal recognition particle RNA". From Rfam's summary of the family: The signal recognition particle (SRP) is a universally conserved ribonucleoprotein. It is involved in the co-translational targeting of proteins to membranes. Lineage: Eukaryota; Metazoa; Chordata; Mammalia; Primates; Hominidae. The record is from Rfam by way of RNAcentral.
GCCGGGCGUGGUGGCGGGCGCCUGUAGUCCCAGCUACUCGGGAGGCUGAGACAGGAGAAUCACUUGAACCCAGGAGGCGGAGGUUGCAGUGAGCCGAGAUCAUGCCACUGCACUCCAGCCUGGGUGACAGGGUGAGACUCUGUCUCAA